Molecule: ribosomal RNA, 497 nt
Filed under: uncultured bacterium
Lineage: Bacteria
Description: partial 16S ribosomal RNA
Rfam family: Bacterial small subunit ribosomal RNA
Source: RNAcentral
GAUGAACGCUGGCGGCGUGCCUAAUACAUGCAAGUCGAGCGAACGGACGAGAAGCUUGCUUUUCUGAUGUUAGCGGCGGACGGGUGAGUAACACGUGGAUAACCUACCUAUAAGACUGGGAUAACUUCGGGAAACCGGAGCUAAUACCGGAUAAUAUUUUGAACCGCAUGGUUCAAAAGUGAAAGACGGUCUUGCUGUCACUUAUAGAUGGAUCCGCGCUGCAUUAGCUAGUUGGUAAGGUAACGGCUUACCAAGGCAACGAUGCAUAGCCGACCUGAGAGGGUGAUAGGCCACACUGGAACUGAGACACGGUCCAGACUCCUACGGGAGGCAGCAGUAGGGAAUCUUCCGCAAUGGGCGAAAGCCUGACGGAGCAACGCCGCGUGAGUGAUGAAGGCCUUCGGAUCGUAAAACUCUGUUAUUAGGGAAGAACAUAUGUGUAAGUAACUGUGCACAUCUUGACGGUACCUAAUCAGAAAGCCACGGCUAACUGCGUG